AGAGGAAGUAAAAGUCGUAACAAGGUUUCCGUAGGUGAACCUGCGGAAGGAUCAUUACCGAAUUGUCAACACGAGUUGUUGCUGGUCCCCGAACCGGGGGCAUGUGCACACUCUGUUCACACAUCCACCCACACCUGUGCACCCUCUGUAGUUCCGUGGCCUGGGCGACUUUUUAUCCCCUUGCCCGUGGUUCUAUGUCUUUACACACACACUGCCAUAAAGUCUCAUGGAAUGUUUGCCCGCGUUUAACGCAAUACAAUACAACUUUCAGCAACGGAUCUCUUGGCUCUCGCAUCGAUGAAGAACGCAGCGAAAUGCGAUAAGUAAUGUGAAUUGCAGAAUUCAGUGAAUCAUCGAAUCUUUGAACGCACCUUGCGCCCUUUGGCUAUUCUGAAGGGCAUGCCUGUUUGAGUAUCAUGAACACCUCAACUCCUCAUGGUUUGCCAUGACGAGCUUGGACUUUGGGGGUCUUGCUGGCCUAUGGUUAGCUCCUCUCAAAUGGAUCAGCUUGCCGGUGUUUGGUGGCGUCACAUGUGUGAUAAAUAUCUACGCUUGCGGUUUUCCACCAUGAUGUAACCUUCAGCAAUGGAGGUUCGCCGGAGCUCACAAAUGUCCCUCCUCGGCGAGGACAGCUUUUUGAACGUUUGAUCUCAAAUCAGGUAGGAUUACCCGCUGAACUUAAGCAUAUCAAU
This 692-nucleotide ribosomal RNA is filed under the name uncultured Thelephorales. RNAcentral's name for it is "eukaryotic LSU rRNA". The stretch from base 263 to 417 matches the Rfam family "5.8S ribosomal RNA". The record is from RNAcentral. Lineage: Eukaryota; Fungi; Basidiomycota; Agaricomycetes; Thelephorales.